This 425-nucleotide ribosomal RNA is filed under the name uncultured bacterium. Its description in RNAcentral is "bacterial SSU rRNA". It matches the Rfam family "Bacterial small subunit ribosomal RNA", at positions 354 to 796 of the family's 1533-position model. The record is from RNAcentral.
GUGGGGAAUAUUGGACAAUGGGCGAAAGCCUGAUCCAGCCAUGCCGCGUGAGUGAUGAAGGCCUUAGGGUCGUAAAGCUCUUUUGUGCGGGAAGAUAAUGACGGUACCGCAAGAAUAAGCCCCGGCUAACUUCGUGCCAGCAGCCGCGGUAAUACGAAGGGGGCUAGCGUUGCUCGGAAUCACUGGGCGUAAAGGGUGCGUAGGCGGGUUCUUAAGUUAGAGGUGAAAGCCUGGAGCUCAACUCCAGAACUGCCUUUAAUACUGGGAAUCUUGAGUUCGGAAGAGGUGAGUGGAACUGCGAGUGUAGAGGUGAAAUUCGUAGAUAUUCGCAAGAACACCAGUGGCGAAGGCGGCUCACUGGUCCGAUACUGACGCUGAGGCACGAAAGCGUGGGGAGCAAACAGGAUUAGAUACCCCUGUAGUCC